UAAAAACAACAAUUUCCUACGCACCGUUGUGAGUGCGCCUUGGCGCUGCGGACAAAAUAUGCUCGAAGUUUAGUUCCUUUGACGAUAAAACAUCGGCUCUUCCCGUUAAGCUCGAGUCAUCUAAAAUACAUCAGGUGCUUUUGUUCUCCUUCUUCCUUAGCUCGUAAUGUCCUUAUAUUUUGCUCGUGUUCUAGUGUGGAGAUCUGCUAAGUAAUCCUCAAGCUCCCCUUUGCCAAGAUGAACAGUGCUGCAUUGACGUAUGAUCGCCGGCCGAUUAUAAGCAAAUAAAUAAGAAGUGGGGAGUAAAUGGCCGAUUUCGUGUGAAGUUUUAUUAUUCAAAUCAAACGGUCGACAAUAAAGAAUGGCAUUAAUUCAAUUAUGUUUUAAAUGAUUAGCAACUUGUCAUUAGAAAAUAUGCAAUUUGAUAAAUUUAUAGCUAGGGCAAUGUGAUGCACACAAUGAUCGAAAAUUUGUCGAGGAAACUUUAAGAUUUUGUUUGUGAUAGCUUUCUUACUGGUUUCUUAAGUUGCUUUCUCGUAU
This is a long non-coding RNA of Dendrobium catenatum, 540 nucleotides long. RefSeq lists it as uncharacterized. The record is from RefSeq and is a predicted model, not a curated record. The transcript has 2 exons. Lineage: Eukaryota; Viridiplantae; Streptophyta; Magnoliopsida; Asparagales; Orchidaceae.